CCUACGGGAGGCAGCAGUGAGGAAUAUUGGUCAAUGGGCGGGAGCCUGAACCAGCCAAGCCGCGUGAAGGAAGAAGGCGCCAAGCGUCGUAAACUUCUUUUCUCAGGGACGAAGCAAGUGACGGUACCUGAGGAAUAAGCCACGGCUAACUACGUGCCAGCAGCCGCGGUAAUACGUAGGUGGCAAGCGUUAUCCGGAUUUACUGGGUGUAAAGGGCGUGUAGGCGGGAAAGCAAGUCAGAUGUGAAAACCAUGGGCUCAACCUGUGGCCUGCAUUUGAAACUGUUUUUCUUGAGUACUGGAGAGGCAGACGGAAUUCCUAGUGUAGCGGUGAAAUGCGUAGAUAUUAGGAGGAACACCAGUGGCGAAGGCGGUCUGCUGGACAGCAACUGACGCUGAGGCGCGAAAGCGUGGGGAGCAAACAGGAUUAGAUACCCUUGUAGUC
This 444-nucleotide ribosomal RNA is filed under the name uncultured bacterium. Its description in RNAcentral is "partial 16S ribosomal RNA". It matches the Rfam family "Bacterial small subunit ribosomal RNA", at positions 338 to 795 of the family's 1533-position model. The record is from RNAcentral.